This 326-nucleotide ribosomal RNA is filed under the name uncultured eukaryote. RNAcentral's name for it is "partial 18S ribosomal RNA". It matches the Rfam family "Eukaryotic small subunit ribosomal RNA", at positions 1470 to 1796 of the family's 1831-position model. The record is from RNAcentral.
CCCUUAGAUGUUCUGGGCCGCACGCGCGCUACACUGAUGAAUUCAACGAGCACUAACCUGUGCCGAAAGGUUCGGGUAAUCUUGUGAAAUUUCAUCGUGAUGGGGAUUGAUUAUUGCAAUUUUUAAUCAUAAACGAGGAAUGCCUAGUAAGCGUGAGUCAUCAGCUCACGUUGAUUACGUCCCUGCGCUUUGUACACACCGCCCGUCGCUCCUACCGAUUGAAUGUGCCAGUGAAAAGUUAGGAUUGGGCGUGGGAGACGGCAACGUAUUCCACAUCCGAGAAAAUCUUUAAACUUUCCCAUUUAGAGGAAGGAGAAGUCGUAACA